UGCCUCAGACAUGCAAGUCGAACGAUUAAACUUUCCUUCGGGAAAGAUAUAAAGUGGCGCACGGGUGAGUAACACGUAAGUAAUCUGCCUUUGAGUGGGGAAUAACAAUCGGAAACGAUUGCUAAUACCGCAUAAUGCAGCGGCACCGCAAGGUGACAGUUGUUAAAGGAGCAAUCCGCUUGAAGAGGAGCUUGCGGCAGAUUAGCUAGUUGGUAAGGUAACGGCUUACCAAGGCUACGAUCUGUAUCCGGUCUAAGAGGACGGUCGGACACACUGACACUGAAUAACGGGUCAGACUCCUACGGGAGGCAGCAGUCGGGAAUUUUGGGCAAUGGGCGAAAGCCUGACCCAGCAACGCCGCGUGAAGGAUGAAGUAUUUCGGUAUGUAAACUUCGAAAGAAUAGGAAGAAUAAAUGACGGUACUAUUUAUAAGGUCCGGCUAACUACGUGCCAGCAGCCGCGGUAAUACGUAGGGACCAAGCGUUGUUCGGAUUUACUGGGCGUAAAGGGCGCGUAGGCGGCAAUUCAAGUCAUCUGUGAAAUCUCCGGGCUUAACUCGGAACGGUCAGAUGAUACUGCUUUGCUAGAGU
RNAcentral lists this ribosomal RNA (590 nucleotides) under uncultured bacterium. RNAcentral describes it as "bacterial SSU rRNA". It matches the Rfam family "Bacterial small subunit ribosomal RNA", at positions 45 to 647 of the family's 1533-position model. The record is from RNAcentral.